GUGGGGAAUAUUGCACAAUGGGCGAAAGCCUGAUGCAGCAACGCCGCGUGAGGACGACGGCCUUCGGGUUGUAAACCUCUUUUAGUAGGGAAGAAGCGAAAGUGACGGUACCUGCAGAAAAAGCACCGGCUAACUACGUGCCAGCAGCCGCGGUAAUACGUAGGGUGCAAGCGUUAUCCGGAAUUAUUGGGCGUAAAGAGCUCGUAGGCGGUCUGUCGCGUCUGCUGUGAAAACUGGAGGCUCAACCUCCAGCCUGCAGUGGGUACGGGCAGACUAGAGUGCGGUAGGGGAGAUUGGAAUUCCUGGUGUAGCGGUGGAAUGCGCAGAUAUCAGGAGGAACACCGAUGGCGAAGGCAGAUCUCUGGGCCGUAACUGACGCUGAGGAGCGAAAGCGUGGGGAGCGAACAGGAUUAGAUACCCGAGUAGUCC
RNAcentral lists this ribosomal RNA (429 nucleotides) under uncultured bacterium. RNAcentral's name for it is "partial 16S ribosomal RNA". It matches the Rfam family "Bacterial small subunit ribosomal RNA", at positions 354 to 796 of the family's 1533-position model. The record is from RNAcentral.